UACGGAGGGUGCAAGCGUUGCUCGGAAUCACUUGGCGUAAAGCGACCGCAGGCGGCCUGACAAGUCGGAUGUGAAAGCCCUGGGCUCAACUCAGGAAUUGCAUUCGAAACUGGCAGGCUCGAGUACGGGAGAGGGGGGUGGAAUUCCUGGUGUAGGGGUGAAAUUCGUUGAUAUCAGGAGGAACACCGGCGGCGAAGGCGGCCCCCUGGCCCGCAACUGACGCUCAUGGUCGAAAGCGUGGGGAGCAAACAGG
This 253-nucleotide ribosomal RNA is filed under the name uncultured bacterium. RNAcentral describes it as "partial 16S ribosomal RNA". It matches the Rfam family "Bacterial small subunit ribosomal RNA", at positions 524 to 776 of the family's 1533-position model. The record is from RNAcentral.